RNAcentral lists this transfer RNA (72 nucleotides) under Candidatus Woesearchaeota archaeon. Its description in RNAcentral is "tRNA-Thr". It matches the Rfam family "tRNA". Rfam says of the family: Transfer RNA (tRNA) molecules are approximately 80 nucleotides in length. Their secondary structure includes four short double-helical elements and three loops (D, anti-codon, and T loops). Further hydrogen bonds mediate the characteristic L-shaped molecular structure. tRNAs have two regions of fundamental functional importance: the anti-codon, which is responsible for specific mRNA codon recognition, and the 3' end, to which the tRNAs corresponding amino acid is attached (by aminoacyl-tRNA synthetases). tRNAs cope with the degeneracy of the genetic code in two manners: having more than one tRNA (with a specific anti-codon) for a particular amino acid; and 'wobble' base-pairing, i.e. permitting non-standard base-pairing at the 3rd anti-codon position. Lineage: Archaea; Nanobdellati; Candidatus Woesearchaeota. The record is from RNAcentral.
GCCCUCUUGGCUCAGCGGUAGAGCGUGUCCUUGGUAAGGACAAGGUCCCGAGUUCGAUUCUCGGAGAGGGCU